This 483-nucleotide ribosomal RNA is filed under the name uncultured bacterium. RNAcentral's name for it is "partial 16S ribosomal RNA". It matches the Rfam family "Bacterial small subunit ribosomal RNA", at positions 28 to 523 of the family's 1533-position model. The record is from RNAcentral.
GAUGAACGCUGGCGGCGUGCCUAAUACAUGCAAGUCGAGCGAACCACUUCGGUGGUGAGCGGCGAACGGGUGAGUAACACGUAGGUGAUCUGCCCAUCAGACGGGGACAACGAUUGGAAACGAUCGCUAAUACCGGAUAGGACGAAAGUUUAAAGGUGCUUCUGGCACCGCUGAUGGAUGAGCCUGCGGCGCAUUUGCUAGUUGGUAGGGUAAAAGCCUACCAAGGCGACGAUGCGUAGCCGACCUGAGAGGGUGAACGGCCACGCUGGGACUGAGACACGGCCCAGACUCCUACGGGAGGCAGCAGUAGGGAAUCUUCGGCAAUGGGCGAAAGCCUGACCGAGCAACGCCGCGUGAAUGAUGAAGGCCUUCGGGUUGUAAAAUUCUGUUAUAAGGGAAGAACGACUUUAGUAGGAAAUGGCUAGAGUGUGACGGUACCUUAUGAGAAAGCCACGGCUAACUACGUGCCAGCCGCCGCAGUAA